Molecule: ribosomal RNA, 265 nt
Filed under: uncultured bacterium
Lineage: Bacteria
Description: partial 16S ribosomal RNA
Rfam family: Bacterial small subunit ribosomal RNA
Source: RNAcentral
UCGGCGACCGGCGGACGGGUGCGUAACGCGUAUGUAACCUACCUUUGACAGGGGGAUAACAUCGAGAAAUUGGUACUAAUACCCCAUAACAUCACCGGAGGCAUCUUCGGUGGUUGAAAACUCAGGUGGUCAGAGAUGGACAUGCGUUGUAUUAGCUAGUUGGUGAGGUAACGGCUCACCAAGGCGACGAUACAUAGGGGGACUGAGAGGUCAACCCCCCACAUUGGUACUGAGACACGGACCAAACUCCUACGGAAGGCAGCAG